CGCUAUCUUCAUUUUCGUGGACUUGUUUCUCUCUUUUUUUUUUUAAUUUAAUGUCUGCUACAGCUCGUCUUCAGUUACUACGGAACACAUAGAAGAGGGACGGCAUGUAACUUGUCCAGUGAGAGGAUGCCAAAGAAAAUCCACAUUGCCUCAAGCUGGUUCUAUACCAGGAUGCAUUUGAAGUAGUGAACCCACUUGGUUCUGCCAAAAAGAAGCACAAGGUUUUGGCUGUGUACUUCUCUCUACUCAACAUCCCACUAACACCCUUCAUCAUUGUUUGCGGUUCCUCCUGCUUCGCUGCUGAGACAUUCAUGUUGAGCAUUGACAAGAAGACUGUCAACGACCGCAUCACAACCUUCACCUCUGCUAUCUGCCUAAUGUUUGGCAGUUACUACUGCUUUAACAUACACUACCCUGUAGAACUGGGAUC
Molecule: long non-coding RNA, 430 nt
Organism: Maylandia zebra (zebra mbuna)
Lineage: Eukaryota; Metazoa; Chordata; Actinopteri; Cichliformes; Cichlidae
Source: RefSeq, a predicted model, not a curated record